Molecule: long non-coding RNA, 373 nt
Filed under: Populus trichocarpa (black cottonwood)
Lineage: Eukaryota; Viridiplantae; Streptophyta; Magnoliopsida; Malpighiales; Salicaceae
Description: long non-coding RNA (PTRI_LNC003566)
Source: RNAcentral
ACUCAGGAGCUGGCCUCAUAUGAGUCCAAACUCGGUGAUUUGGAGGCAAAAUUAUCUGCAAUCCUUUCUGAGAAGGAUGAAACAGUUGAGCAGCUUCACAUUUCAAAGAAGGCCGUUGAGGAUUUGAGGCAGCAGCUCUCUGAUGAAGGGCAGAAACUACAGUCUCAGGUUCGCAUCAUCAUUUGUGGUUUUUCAUUUCUUGGUAAAUAAUUAUUUGGCGAUUAUUUUGGCCAUAGUCUUCUAACUUGAUAAGUUUUCAAAUUUCAGAUAUCUUCAGUUAUGGAAGAGAACAACCUCCUCAAUGAAACAUAUCAAAAUGGAAAGAAAGAACUUCAAUCAGUGAUCAUCCAGCUUGAAGAAGAACUGAUGGGAC